This 103-nucleotide non-coding RNA is filed under the name Brugia malayi. Lineage: Eukaryota; Metazoa; Nematoda; Chromadorea; Rhabditida; Onchocercidae. The record is from RNAcentral.
UAAUUAUCAAGCCUAAGCCUAAGCCUAAGCUUAAGCCUAAGCCUAAGCCUAAGCCUAAGCCUAAGCCUAAGCCUAAGCCUAAGCCUAAGCCUAAGCCUAAGCC